GGGUGCGAUCAUACCAGCAUUAAUGCAACAGCGAGAGUAGUACUAGGAUGGGUGACCUCCUGGGAAGUCCUCGUGUUGCACCCC
This 84-nucleotide ribosomal RNA is filed under the name Gossypium hirsutum (cotton). The record is from RNAcentral. Lineage: Eukaryota; Viridiplantae; Streptophyta; Magnoliopsida; Malvales; Malvaceae. RNAcentral also lists the same sequence under 1 other name.